GGUUCUGUUUCUCCUAUUCUGUCAAAGUUUCCUGGUUUCACUGUUCGAGUCGUCGUUCGCGUGUGGAAGUCGUCGUCAUUUGCUGCUCGUGCCGUCCCUGUUUCGCUGCUCGUCGACAGGUAAACAACUCAUUUAUGUAAUCUCCUUCUCUUCUUGGUUUCAAAUGCGAUGGCUUGGGGGUAGAGAGCUUCUGUCGUACGUCUUUGGGAUUUGUUUGCCACAGUUUGGAAUGAUCUGUAUGCUUGCUUGUUUU
Molecule: unclassified non-coding RNA, 253 nt
Filed under: Hevea brasiliensis (rubber tree)
Lineage: Eukaryota; Viridiplantae; Streptophyta; Magnoliopsida; Malpighiales; Euphorbiaceae
Source: RNAcentral